CGCCCAGCAGCGCGCCGCAAAGUGACGCAAUAUCGCUGGCAAACAGCACCUGAAAAAUAGACGCCAUUACAAACAGCCCCGCCAGCGGCGCCAUAUACACCAGCAUCGCUGAGCCCAGCAGGCUGCUUUCAGCGAUCCCCAGCUCCACUUUUUGCCCCGCGGCCAACGGCUGCUCGCAGGGCACGCUAAUGGUAUGGCUGGUCUGCGGCCCCAGCUUGUUUAGCACCCGGCUACCACAGCCGCACGGGAGGCGCAGCUGCUGCAGGAGGCUUUAACGUCGCAGUGCACCUGCGCCACGCCGUUAUGCCAGGAAACCACGGUAGCCCACUCUUUAAUCAUUGUACUGCCUUGAAUUUAAUACUGUCAGAGAUACGC
Molecule: non-coding RNA, 375 nt
Organism: Klebsiella pneumoniae IS39
Lineage: Bacteria; Pseudomonadati; Pseudomonadota; Gammaproteobacteria; Enterobacterales; Enterobacteriaceae
Source: Rfam